RNAcentral lists this long non-coding RNA (250 nucleotides) under Carica papaya (papaya). Its description in RNAcentral is "long non-coding RNA (CPAP_LNC001756)". The record is from RNAcentral. Lineage: Eukaryota; Viridiplantae; Streptophyta; Magnoliopsida; Brassicales; Caricaceae.
UAUGUUUCUUCUAGUCUCCUUUUUUUUCUCUUACUCAAGAAUGUGACAUGCUUAUAGGUUUAAAAAAUGUCAAUUUAGCAUAAUCAAACUUCCAAAUUUAUCUCUUAAUAUGUCUCAAUCUUUGAUAAACUAAAGUAUAAUGUUGAUGCAAUGAGAGAACUUGUUUAAAAGGGUACUGGAUAUGUCAAGGAAUAACAAGAAAAGGAGAUCCAUGCCUUGGGUGUUAAAUUGUUUACUAUACUUGUUGACU